AUAUAUAGAGAGAGUUAGAUUAUUAUUCGCUUAUUGGUCUAAAGGGGUUAAUUAACAUUCUGCCCUACAUGGGAGACCAAAUUGAGCUGAAUCAAUAUUGAAACGAUAAGAGACCGAGUUGGCUCGAGUCAUGUUCGAACUGUCAUGAGGCUGGUUGGGCCGAGUCAUAAUCGAGAUUCGUGUGUGCUAUAUCUGUACAUUUUAAGUGAAUUAGUUGUGUAUUUCUAAAGGCUAGAGUUUUUAUAAUUAAUGGUUAGCGCCAAUGAUUCGGCAAUUGCAACAUUUAUAUAAACCUAAUUAUAUAUUGUUGUAUUUUUAUAUAUUUUUUAAAAC
This 333-nucleotide long non-coding RNA is filed under the name Ananas comosus (pineapple). Its description in RNAcentral is "long non-coding RNA (ACOM_LNC038246)". Lineage: Eukaryota; Viridiplantae; Streptophyta; Magnoliopsida; Poales; Bromeliaceae. The record is from RNAcentral.